Long non-coding RNA from Meriones unguiculatus (Mongolian gerbil), 630 nucleotides. RefSeq lists it as uncharacterized. Lineage: Eukaryota; Metazoa; Chordata; Mammalia; Rodentia; Muridae. The transcript has 3 exons. The record is from RefSeq and is a predicted model, not a curated record.
CAACGGCUUAGCAGGGAUAUGGCGAAUAUUUUGUUGCCCUGAACUUGUCACUUACAAAAUAAAAAGCACAGCAUGGAGCUUUCCUUCCACAGAUGUGAACAGCCCCACCUCAUGCUUCCAUUGCCUCAGAUGGAGUCUGUCUGCCAUGCUUUCCCCACUAUGAAGGACUGAAAUGGUCUGAAAUCACUGGUACCACUACACUGAAGGCUGGGUUUCUGGCCCAGGCCUCACUUUAUCUGACAGCCUCAAUUAGACCAAGAGAUCAGAAACCAGCCAAGCAUACUUCAUGUGAGUGUUCACGUGUUGCCAGUGACACCUGACAUGUAAACUAAUCGAGAGGGAGAGAGACACCUCUGAAUAUUGGCCUCACCGUCCACCAGGCUAGAGGCCUGACAGGAGAAGGGAAAGCCACCUUUGCCUAUGGACACCAGACUCUCCCUCAGCCUGUUCAGUCAGAGUCGGAGCCACUCAGAACUCUGGGUGAUCAGUGCUGCAUGGGGGCCUCAUCACUAGUUCUGAGGCUCCCAGCAUUUCAGAAGGAGGAGUUAGGUGCUGUUCUGUGCAGGCUGGAAACAGCCAUUCCUGGACUAUCCAAUAAUGAAUUAUAUAAGACAAUUCAAUAAAUCUUCA